Long non-coding RNA from Ahaetulla prasina, 2967 nucleotides. RefSeq lists it as uncharacterized. NCBI's taxonomy places the organism in Eukaryota, Metazoa, Chordata, Lepidosauria, Squamata, Colubridae. The transcript is spliced from 4 exons. The record is from RefSeq and is a predicted model, not a curated record.
CAGAUAGGUCAGGUAUUGUCGAGGGGAACUGGCAAAGUUCACAUCUUUUCCCAAAUUCCUGUCAGGUUCCUGUUUUGAAAUCCUAUGCAACACAAUCAAGGAAAAGCUUCAUUCAACACUGAAUGAAAAUCAGGCAAAUCAUCAUUAGAGCCAAAUACUAUUUUUCAACUGCUGAUCAAGUUGGAAAUCUGGGUUUACUAGAUCCCUGAAACCUUCCUACAGACCUUCAAUGGGGUUAUGGAAUAAGAACCCCUGGUCCUCUGUGUCAUUUUAUCCAAUUCUGGUUUUAAACGGAGAUGCCAAGGUUGGAAUGUCGGACAUCUUUGAUAUCAAGAACUGUCUGUACAAUGCUGAUAAGGCAUGGCCACCCUGGCCCUUCAUGAGCCAUCUGCUGUCCAUGUGAAGCCAUUUUUCAAGGAUCUCAUGAAAAAAACCACAAGUCUGAAACUUUCUAUCCUAAAGAAGACUGAUGACUAACAUAUGAUGUUUACUUCAGCCAGAGCUUUAAAGAAGUAGAGGAAUACCCUGGGAUCAGAGGUGGUAUUCAGCCGGUUCAUAUCGGUUCGCGUGAACUGGUAGCGGCAAGGUGGACCCGUCCCGCCCACCAUCUCCACUGUAAUGCCAUCUAUUUAGCCACGUUUUUGAAGCCCGGCGCAUGCCCAGGAGGCAUGCAUGCGAGCAAAGCACAUGCAUGGAAGGGUGGGUACAUGCGGCCACGCGGCGAACCGGUGGUAAGAAUUUGUGAAACCCACCGCUGCCUGGGAUAAUGUAUUUCAACAACACAUAUCUUGAAUCUACUCAAAUAAAAUUUCAAGUUAUUGGGCAGAUUCAUUUAGAAAAAAGUCACCUCUGCCAUCGUGUCAGAAUUUUGUGAGUUGCCAGACUUAUCCUGCAUAAUGAUAUUCACAGCAAACAGGCCUACAGCUCCAGAUGAGCCUCCAAGCAAAGGUAUGGGUAACAAUAAUUAAUUCAUUGUCCUGUUCAGCAGCACAAUCAUGCUACCGUUGUAGAUAGACAUCUUCAGUGAAGCUUUCAGGUGUUUCUCUAAAAACUAUAUCAAUGCAAUAUAUACUCUAAGUAGCUAUGACUAAGCCAUGUCUUAUUGUCGCAAUUGUCAUAUUAGUUCCCUGGUAUGUAGAGUAAACAGAGGGAGCAUUGCACAUAAGCAAGAUCUCAACAGAUCAGGAGGAAAUGUCAUUAUAUAUCAGUGAUGGAUAAUUAGACCUCUUUGGGUAUUGUCAGUGGUGAGAUUCAGCCAGUUCGCACCACUUUGGCAGAACCGGUUGUUAAUUUUCUGAGCAAUUUGGUGAACUGGUUGUUGAAAGAAAUCAUUAGGGCAGAGAACUGGUUGUUAAAUUAUUUGAAACCCACCACUAGGUAUUGUAUAUGCGCUGAAGAGAUAUUGGCAUAUAAAUAUGUCUAGGUGUGUUAACUUCUCUUCAGCUACAAUCAUUCUUGAAAAUCUUAAAAGUAUUAGGUUCAGCUUUCUCUCUGUUAAAUCCUGCUUCAUGGCAAGCAGACACUGAAAAGUUUGUUGUCCCUAGUAUACCACAUCUUCAAGUAUAUCAUAUUCAACUACUGCUAGAGGCCCCAGUGCUGCAUUUUUAAAUCAACUGACAUAUCAUGAAUAUUUUUGGGUCACCGUGACAGGCUUGGACCCAGAUAUUCCACAGCUGCAACUGCUGGAUUUUCUUCCCAUUCUAACUCUACUUCCUCAUUGUCCUGGUUGCCCUCCAUAAUCAGCAUCACUCCAUCACACAAGAAUAACAGAAGAUUAAGGAUUCUGUUAGUUAAAUCAGCUUUAAUCAUCCCAAUUGUCAAGCAUUAUGGCUAAUAAUGGACCGUGGAGUUCAACAGCUUUAAGGCAGAUGAGAAAAAGACUUAAUAAAUAGCAUAGUCCUCAGCUCCUAACCAUUGUGCCUCCUUUAAAGAAGCAUUAUUACAAAUAUGUUAUAUAAAGACUGCUAAGACUUAGAUAAAGGUAGUGUUCAAACUUUUGACAAUAUUUUUAAAUAACUGAUUUCUAUAGCAUAUCAAAAUAGGUCUUAUCUUCCCUUGAGUUCACAGAUAUCAUUUCACAGUUAAAUAAGUCCUUAUCAAAAAAGGCAGCGAUCACAAAUUAAUUAAAUUUAUAUACUUUGAGAUCAUUAAUCCUUGCAAUAUGCUAUAAACAAAUACAGAUCUGGAUUUAAGGAACACUAUGGGAAUGUCACAUAUCUAUGACAUUUAUAUAUUUGGUUUCAAUUCUGGCAUUUCUAGAAGGCAAUUGUGGCUUAACACACCUGAACAGUUCUGUGUAAUAGUAGUUUUUCAAUAUGAUGCAGGAGAAAAAUAAUAAGUAGCUUUUACCAAGAGUAGAGGAUUGGAGAUAGAAGGGAAGAGAAGGAAAAGUAGAGGUUUUUAAAGCCAUUCCCAAAUGAAGUGGUCCAAAAAAAAUCAAUUUGUAAUUAUCUGCUAAAAAAAAAAUCUAAAGGCUUUUCUUUGAUAAGGGUGGUAAUACAAAGGGCCAUAAUGUGAAUUAUUUCAAAGAAUAAAAGGCGCAUUGUCUUCAUGACCUAUAUAGCUUUUAGUAAGCUUUCACUCAAAAUUACAUUUUAUACAACUCAUGAAUGGCUUUUCCUUCCUCUUGUAAAAGUGGGGGAUGGGUUAUUCCAUCUGGUAAACUUUCAAGCUUAAGAUUCAGGUUUUUUCCUAUUUUGGUGACAUUUUGCCCCCCCCCCUUGAAAAUAAAGGUGCUGGCUUUGCUGAAAAGAUGGCAGUUUGGCGAAACAAGCUGCCCUUUCAGAUAAGAAUUUGAAAAAACAGAUAUGUUUGACUUGCCACUUCUGCAGAAAUUUAACUUCCUUUAGAUUUUUUUUUUUUAAUAAAAGGAAAACGGAUAAUUUUAAGAAUAAGAUAUAAAACAACUACAGUAUAAAAUAAACAUAUAGAUAAUAAAAUAAAAUAAACAUAUAGAUGAGUACGCAA